Molecule: ribosomal RNA, 314 nt
Filed under: uncultured cyanobacterium
Lineage: Bacteria; Bacillati; Cyanobacteriota
Description: bacterial SSU rRNA
Rfam family: Bacterial small subunit ribosomal RNA
Source: RNAcentral
GAUGAACGCUGGCGGCGUGCUUAACACAUGCAAGUCGAACGAACCUUUCGAGGUUAGUGGCGGACGGGUGAGUAACGCGUGAGGAUCUGGCCUUAGGAGUGGGAUAACAGUUGGAAACGGCUGCUAAUACCGCAUAUGGCGAGAGCUGAAAGAUUUUAUCGCCUAGGGAUGAACUCGCGUCUGAUUAGCUAGCUGGUAGUGUAAGGGACUACCAAGGCGGCGAUCAGUAGCUGGUCUGAGAGGAUGAUCAGCCACACUGGGACUGAGACACGGCCCAGACUCCUACGGGAGGCAGCAGUGGGAAUUUUCCGCAA